UGAUUCUUUCGGGGCAGGGUGAAAUUCCCAACCGGCGGUAAGCUUUAAAGCGAGCCCGCGACCCGUACUGUUUUCUUACGGUGCGGCUGAUUCAGUGCAAGUCUGAAGCCGACAGUCAAAGUCUGGAUGGGAGAGAGAAUGA
This 142-nucleotide non-coding RNA is filed under the name Salinicoccus halodurans. RNAcentral's name for it is "FMN sequence". It matches the Rfam family "FMN riboswitch aptamer (RFN element)". Rfam says of the family: The RFN element is a highly conserved domain that is found frequently in the 5'-untranslated regions of prokaryotic mRNAs that encode for flavin mononucleotide (FMN) biosynthesis and transport proteins. This element is a metabolite-dependent riboswitch that directly binds FMN in the absence of proteins. In Bacillus subtilis, the riboswitch most likely controls gene expression by causing premature transcription termination within the 5' untranslated region of the ribDEAHT operon and precluding access to the ribosome-binding site of ypaA mRNA. Lineage: Bacteria; Bacillati; Bacillota; Bacilli; Caryophanales; Staphylococcaceae. The record is from RNAcentral.